Molecule: long non-coding RNA, 1470 nt
Organism: Helianthus annuus (common sunflower)
Lineage: Eukaryota; Viridiplantae; Streptophyta; Magnoliopsida; Asterales; Asteraceae
Exons: 2
Source: RefSeq, a predicted model, not a curated record
AUGGUCGGUGCAACAGUGCACCGACAUAAUUACAAAAAUGCCCUGCGUCACGCACAACAGUUCUUUCUCUGUCUAGGGUUACACAACCACCACCAUGGAGGGCUGCUAGGAUCGAAACGUGUUUCUCUUCUUCUGCACUAAACCUAAAUGUACCCUAAUAGGCUUUUCUUCACAUACGCUCCUUUAUCUUGCAUCAGCCUCUACAAAUCAGAAACCGCAAAAAAUUCAGUCUUAGGUUUGUGAAAAUCAGCAUCGGAUCAUGGAGAUGGAGCGUAUUACCGACUUUCCGAUGAGUACUGUUCACAUUGGACCGAGAGAACUACAACGAUUUGCCUGGAUGUUGUUCAAAAGGCGGCUAAGGUUAGAAUGUGAUGGAUCAGAAGAGCAACAACAAGGAAACUGAGAACGUGAUGGCUGGUGGAGGCGAUGGCGUUUGUGAAGUGGACCUCAAAUUGUAUAAGAGAUUUCAACAACUAUCUGUUGCUUUGGCCAUGACAUUUAGUUCAUGGCUUCAUGCACCAUGGGUAUGUGUGUCAUUCCUUCAGUAAUUUAUUUUUGAAUUUGCAAUAUAGAAAGUUUCUCAAUCCAAUGUAUUUCUGCAUAUGAUGCUUAUUUUGGGAUUCACUAAAUGCAUUAUACUAAUUCAAAGUAAUAUGGAUUGAGAUUACUAUACAACCCCAGAAGAAACUAUGGAUUUUGGGAUCAUAGAUGAAGUUUUGCAUGUGAGAGUUGAGACCAAUAACUUUGGUGGCUAAUGGUGAGAGUGAUGGAAAUGGGAACUCUCAUAGUAGAAUCAGUGGCGAAGCUUGAAUUUUUUGGCCGGGGGGGCGAAAACGUAUAUACCCAAAAAUUUCUAUAGAACCGGGGGGCGAGUAGAAUUUAAUAUAAGUUUGUCGAUGUGGUGCAUGUUGGGAGAAAUUUUUUAUUUUCAAACAUUUCAGGGACAAAGGUAAAUUCUAUGCCUUCAACUUUUGACACUUUGGUCAUUUUCAACUUACUCAUGUUUCUUUUUACCAUUCUCAGUAAGUUUUAUUUCUCAGGUAAUCUCUUGAGUUUCUUUGUAAUUUUAUUAUAUUUAUCAAUAGAUUCAGUUCUAUUAAUUAAUGAACCUUAAUUUUUUUUUUCAGCAAGAAUAUGAAUGAAUAUAUUUGGGAUUUAUACCUACAAGUGGACUUGAACGAAACUGAGGUUAUCUACAUCUUGGCGGGGCAAUCCGGAUGGUCAUGUCAAGGAAAAACUGAUUCUCUCACAUUGCAACCGGUCUGGAUGGUAAUGUCAAGAUACAACUGGUUCUCUCACAUUGCAACUGGUUGCUUUGUAGGCACAACUUUUGCUGGAAGUACAAUUACACCAAAGUUGUUUAGGUUGCAACUUAGUUUUUUUGUUUUGUUAUCUAAAAGUUGAAGAGCAUCUGAACACUUUUGUUGUUUUAUACUUUUGUAUAUAUAUCUCAACUCCCAAUAUCAGAUU